RNAcentral lists this microRNA precursor (111 nucleotides) under Dinoponera quadriceps. RNAcentral's name for it is "microRNA dqu-mir-283 precursor". Its record names the gene dqu-mir-283. The stretch from base 3 to 93 matches the Rfam family "mir-283 microRNA precursor family". Lineage: Eukaryota; Metazoa; Arthropoda; Insecta; Hymenoptera; Formicidae. The record is from miRBase by way of RNAcentral.
CACUAUCCGGUGGUGUAAUCAAAUAUCAGCUGGUAAUUCUGGGGAUUGUGACGGUAGCCCAGGAUUCUUGCUGGUAUCUGGCUACGAACUGGAUCAUCGCCUUUGCACACU